RNAcentral lists this ribosomal RNA (518 nucleotides) under Beauveria pseudobassiana. Its description in RNAcentral is "eukaryotic LSU rRNA". The stretch from base 154 to 307 matches the Rfam family "5.8S ribosomal RNA". Lineage: Eukaryota; Fungi; Ascomycota; Sordariomycetes; Hypocreales; Cordycipitaceae. The record is from RNAcentral.
CAACUCCCAAACCCUUAUGUGAACCUACCUAUCGUUGCUUCGGCGGACUCGCCCCAGCCGGACGCGGACUGGACCAGCGGCCGCCGGGGACCAUCAAACUCUUGUAUUAUCAGCAUCUUCUGAAUACGCCGCAAGGCAAAACAAAUAAAUUAAAACUUUCAACAACGGAUCUCUUGGCUCUGGCAUCGAUGAAGAACGCAGCGAAAUGCGAUAAGUAAUGUGAAUUGCAGAAUCCAGUGAAUCAUCGAAUCUUUGAACGCACAUUGCGCCCGCCAGCAUUCUGGCGGGCAUGCCUGUUCGAGCGUCAUUUCAACCCUCGACCUCCCUUUGGGGAAGUCGGCGUUGGGGACCGGCAGCACACCGCCGGCCCUGAAAUGGAGUGGCGGCCCGUCCGCGGCGACCUCUGCGUAGUAAACCAACUCGCACCGGAACCCCGACGUGGCCACGCCGUAAAACACCCAACUUCUGAACGUUGACCUCGAAUCAGGUAGGACUACCCGCUGAACUUAAGCAUAUCA